UGGAGCCACCCAUGAGGGCACAGCCAAGUGAGAGGACUCAGAAGACAGUGGCCUCACUUCCAGAAUCUGGCCAGGCAAAAGUGCCAGCAGUAUAAUGUUUGUUUCACAGUCAAACAUAAUUCAGAAAAGUCAAAAGAAGAAGGAAAGUCUAUCUUAUUUAUCUAUAUAUUCGCUGUUUCCAUGCUAUUUUUUUUAAAUUCCUGAUGUUCCAAGAUUCUAUCUUUUGUCACUUCCUAUGUUUAGAAAAUUUCUUUUAGCCAUUCUUUUAGGGUAGGUCUGCUGGUGACAAAUUCUCCUGGUAUUCCUUCAUCUAAGAAUGUCUUGAUUUCUCCUUUAUUCCUGAAGGAUUUUUUUUAUUUGCUGGACCUACAAUUCUAGGUUGGCAGUUUUCGCAUCUGAAAAAUGUUUUGCCACUUCUUUCUGGUCUCCAUGGUAUCUGAUGAUAAAGAAGUUGUCAUUUGAAUUCCCUCCCACCCCCCCAACUGGCAAUGUGUUGCUUCUCUUUGGCUGCUUUCAAGACUGUCUUAGCUUUCAGAAGGUUGACCAUGUGUGUCUUCUCGUGGAUUUCUUUGGAUUGAUCCUAUUUGGGGUUUUCUCAACUUCUUAAAUCUGUAGACUUUUUUUUUUUUUUCCCAAAGUUGAAACAUUUUCAAAUCCUUUUUCAGCACAACCUUCUUUAUCCUUUCCUUUCCGUUUCUU
This 699-nucleotide long non-coding RNA is filed under the name Homo sapiens (human). RNAcentral's name for it is "non-protein coding lnc-NEURL1B-5:1". The record is from RNAcentral. Lineage: Eukaryota; Metazoa; Chordata; Mammalia; Primates; Hominidae.